This 77-nucleotide transfer RNA is filed under the name Planctomycetota bacterium. Its description in RNAcentral is "Planctomycetes bacterium tRNA-His". It matches the Rfam family "tRNA". From Rfam's summary of the family: Transfer RNA (tRNA) molecules are approximately 80 nucleotides in length. Their secondary structure includes four short double-helical elements and three loops (D, anti-codon, and T loops). The record is from RNAcentral. Lineage: Bacteria; Pseudomonadati; Planctomycetota.
GUGGGCGUAGCUCAGUUGGUUAGAGCACCAGAUUGUGGAUCUGGGGGUCGGGGGUUCGAGUCCCCUUGCCCACCCCA